CUCGCUCGGAAGGCGACAACAGUUCUGCAAAACCUGUCAGUUCUUCUAAGGGCCUCUCUUUUUUCCUAUGGCUGAAACAGAAACAUCCAGCCAGACUUGAUGUUACUUCUGUAUUCAUUCCGGAAGCCCCUCCCCUUCAGUCAUAAAUGAUUCUCAUGAAAUUGGAGCCUAUCCCAGCCCCUGGGGUCCAAGGCAGUAACUAAACCAAGCUGGAACACUGAUCCAUUGCAAAUAUAUUCAAACACAAGUCCCUUUCAC
Molecule: long non-coding RNA, 258 nt
Organism: Polypterus senegalus (gray bichir)
Lineage: Eukaryota; Metazoa; Chordata; Cladistia; Polypteriformes; Polypteridae
Exons: 3
Source: RefSeq, a predicted model, not a curated record